GGACCCGCACAAGCGGUGGAACAUGUGGUUUAAUUCGAAGCAACGCGAAAAACCUUACCAGGACUUGAAAUCGAUAGAAUCUUUGUGAAAGCAGAGAGUGCCCUUCGGGGAGCUAGAAGACAGGUGGUGCACGGUUGUCGUCAGCUCGUGUCGUGAGAUGUUGGGUUAAGUCCCGCAACGAGCGCAACCCUCGUUAUUAGUUGCAUAUAUCGGUAUACUGAUAUAGUGCUCUCUGAUAAGACUGCCGGUGAUAAACCGGAGGAAGGUGGGGACGACGUCAAAUCAUCAUGCCCCUUAUGUUCUGGGCUACACACGUGUUACAAUGGCUGGUACAACGAGUCGCCAACUCGCGAGAGUGAGCAAAUCUCUUAAAAACCAGUCUCAGUUCGGAUCGUACUCUGCAACUCGAGUACGUGAAGUCGGAAUCGCUAGUAAACGCAGAUCAGCACGCUG
Molecule: ribosomal RNA, 453 nt
Filed under: uncultured cyanobacterium
Lineage: Bacteria; Bacillati; Cyanobacteriota
Description: bacterial SSU rRNA
Rfam family: Bacterial small subunit ribosomal RNA
Source: RNAcentral